GAAGAUAUGAGCGGGAAGAAACAGAAACUCACUUUCUUGUCUUCUGUGAUGCUAAAGAGGACAGAACUGUACUAAUUAGUCCCCCAAGAGAACGCUUUAUAUGUCAGAAUGAAGAUUUGUCAACAUAUCACUGGCAACGGUUCUGAACCUUUGGCCUGUCUUCCUUUC
This 168-nucleotide long non-coding RNA is filed under the name Cricetulus griseus (Chinese hamster). Its description in RNAcentral is "lncRNA (ENSCGRG00000025252.1)". The record is from RNAcentral. Lineage: Eukaryota; Metazoa; Chordata; Mammalia; Rodentia; Cricetidae.